UGUGAAAUCCCUGCUGGAGAAGUACUACAUUGAUCUCAAGCUAAUUGGCCGCCUUGAGGUUGGUAGCGAGACAGUGAUAGACAAAAGUAAAUCCAUCAAAACGUGGCUAAUGCAAUUUUUAGAGGAAACUGGUAAUACCGACAUCGAGGGAGUUUGACUCCAGUAAUGCAUGUUAUGGUGGAACAACUUCCCUCUUGAAUUGGUGUGACUUCGGUCCAAAGUCCAUGCUGGGAUGAACGUUACGGCCUUGUAGUCUGCACAGAUAGCACGGUUUAUGCAGAGGGACCAGCUCGACCUGGUGGAGCUGCUGCAGUUGCUAUGCUUAUUGGUCCAAAUGCACCUAUUUCUUUCGAAAUCAAAUAUAGAGCUUUUCACAUGACUCAUGUUUACGAUCUCUACAAGCCUCAUCUUGCAAGUGAAUAUCAGACCAAAAGUUCAAUCAAGAAUUUGGGAUCUGAACAAUAUUGCCUAAUACCCAGUUAUACAAGGAUCAAGUUUCAGAGAAUCAGAGAUCAACAACUUGCUAGUUAACCACUCGUCGCACAAUGUAAUUUACCCGCAAACUGACAGGCAUCAAUGCUACAGUUUGGAAGAAAAAGAGUGCUCCCUGGACUGUCAGGUUGUGUGAUCCUUUGAAUUGCAAACCAAAGCUACAAGAGCGUUCAGCCAUUGGAGCUGACGCUCAAGCUCCACGCCAAUGUGAAGAGCGCUAAGGCCGUAAACACAUAAUUAAGCAAUGCACACCUCAACUUACAAGACAACAUGAAGGAUAAAUAUCAAUCUUUUAGCAGAUAAAUUUAAGACUUAAACGCUCUGAAUUUCUUCAUUUGCAUGAAAAAUGGUAUUGCAAGGCAGAUCAUUUUAUCUGUACAGUCAGCUCUCCAAAAGCACCCUAAAUUUCAGUGUAGAAUCAAAAUUGCUAAGAAUACCUGGAAUGGAAAUUCUUAGUGGCACGUGUAAGCUUUGCAGAUUGUUUGGUUUUUAAAUCUAUUAUUUUCUGAUAUAGAUUGCGAUAAUUUUGCAUUGAUGAUUGGUACUAGUACUUGUCAGUCCAACCAUUUACUACAGAACUCACAUAUGUACUGAUUAAGAGCUGGCUUAUAUGGAGCAAAAAUCAAGAAUUACCAGCAGUCAAAGCAAACACCAGAAUAAAAUUUGAAGCAGCAUGUCAGUAA
This is a long non-coding RNA of Triticum dicoccoides, 1175 nucleotides long. RefSeq lists it as uncharacterized. Lineage: Eukaryota; Viridiplantae; Streptophyta; Magnoliopsida; Poales; Poaceae. The transcript is spliced from 5 exons. The record is from RefSeq and is a predicted model, not a curated record.